Long non-coding RNA from Etheostoma spectabile (orangethroat darter), 156 nucleotides. RefSeq lists it as uncharacterized. The transcript is spliced from 4 exons. The record is from RefSeq and is a predicted model, not a curated record. Lineage: Eukaryota; Metazoa; Chordata; Actinopteri; Perciformes; Percidae.
CAUUUCCUUAGCAUCUUUGUUUUAAAAAACCCUAUCCUGACUGAACUUUGACUUUAAACCAGUCUGUGAUUCACUCAACAUCCUCUGAUCCUAACUAUUAGUCAAAAUAAUUCACGAUUUCUGCUUUUUUAACACUUAAAAAUUGUAUAAUGUCAG